CAAGUUAUGAAAUACUUAAGAUAAUAAUAAUAAUAAUAAUAAUAAUAAUAAGUUUUUCAAUUCUCACGUUCAAAGCAUCAAUAUUCACAAAUACAAUUUGUGUAAAAAAUAAAUAAAUAAAUAAAAAAAGAAGAAGAAGAGGCUCUGAACAUUGUGGUGCAGAUGCAGAUGAAUUUGAAAGGCUUUCUAAGAAUCUUGUUGUGAGGUGGGCUGGAGAAACCACUGAACUCUUACUGUCUGAACAAACCUAUUGAACCAGUGUCCCAGGAUCAUCCGUGAAUCCGGAAGGUCAAAAGGUCAACCUUUCUGAUAUCGAUGGCUGAAUGAACUAAGCGGUGGAGAUACAGAUGUGUCUCAUGAUGGAGGCCCAAAAUCAGGUGUCCAAGGCCUGUCGCGACGUUUCGGAUUUUCUGAUCCUUCUUCAGGCGAGCGUUGGACACAAAUGGCUGGAAUUCUCUACAGCAGCCAUUCUCAUGAUGGAGGCCCAAAAUCAGGUGUCCAAGGCCUGUCGCGACGUUUCGGAUUUUCUGAUCCUUCUUCAGGCGAGCGUUGGACACAAAUGGCUGGAAUUCUCUACAGCAGCCAUGUAUACCUGUUGUUUUCUGAGUGGGCGUGCCCCC
Long non-coding RNA from Cyprinus carpio carpio, 620 nucleotides. Lineage: Eukaryota; Metazoa; Chordata; Actinopteri; Cypriniformes; Cyprinidae. The record is from Ensembl.